This 305-nucleotide ribosomal RNA is filed under the name uncultured bacterium. RNAcentral describes it as "bacterial SSU rRNA". It matches the Rfam family "Bacterial small subunit ribosomal RNA", at positions 336 to 638 of the family's 1533-position model. The record is from RNAcentral.
UUCCUACGGGGGGCAGCAGUGAGGAAUGUUGGUCAAUGGGCUUACGCCUGAACCAGCCAAGUCGCGUGAGGGAAGACUGCCCUAUGGGUUGUAAACCUCUUUUGUCAGGGAGCAACGCCGGCUACGUGUAGCCGGACUGAGAGUACCUGAAGAAAAAGCAUCGGCUAACUCCGUGCCAGCAGCCGCGGUAAUACGGAGGAUGCGAGCGUUAUCCGGAAUUACUGGGCGUAAAGGGUGCGUAGGUGGUUUCUUAAGUCAGAAGUGAAAGGCUACGGCUCAACCGUAGUAAGCCUUUGAAACUGUGG